Molecule: long non-coding RNA, 555 nt
Organism: Ficedula albicollis (Collared flycatcher)
Lineage: Eukaryota; Metazoa; Chordata; Aves; Passeriformes; Muscicapidae
Exons: 3
Source: RefSeq, a predicted model, not a curated record
GAGAGAGUCAAGGGUCAUUAGCUGACGAGGCAGAGCUGCCCCUUCCCUUGCUCUGCUGUUUUUCUGCUUUCAACAUCCUCAAAGGCAUCUAAUUGUUGGGCCAUCCUGAGUAUCUGCACUUACAGAAAUCAAGGCUCGAGUGGAACUCCCCUGAAAGCCAGGCACCGGGAAGCCAAGAUUAGUUUUCAGAAAAUCAGACAAGGAGGAGCAAGCAGGCACACAGAGGAGCCACUGCAGAGCUGAUGCACCCAGGCUUUGCUAAGCCAAUUAAGCAAUGGAAUAAAGGCCACAACUGGAAUGGACUCGACAGAUCAGUGAAAUCAAGUGGUGAAAAUUAAUAUACUAGGAAAUUAAAUCAAAAUUAUAAAGCUGAGACUGAAUUUGAUUUGUUGGUCUUGGGCUGGGGAUGUUUUCAGGGAAGCUGUUUUCUGUGCAGUGUGAGGGAUGUUUGUGUCCAUCAGGUUUGUGCUCAUUGUUCCUAAAAGAGACCCUCUAAACCAAAGGGUGAUCCUGACCUGUUCCACUUAAGGAGGGGGUACAGCCAGCACAGUGCUG